Molecule: long non-coding RNA, 173 nt
Organism: Juglans regia (Persian walnut)
Lineage: Eukaryota; Viridiplantae; Streptophyta; Magnoliopsida; Fagales; Juglandaceae
Exons: 3
Source: RefSeq, a predicted model, not a curated record
AUUGCAACUCUUUCUUCCCAAUGUUUGUUCUGCUUUAUGUCAUACAUUACUUCCUUUUCAUGGUGGCGGCUUCAUACUACCAUUAUCUCAACUUUCUAGGUUAUGAUGAUUUUUUGGAGUUGGCAUUGCAGUUUGGAAUGAUCAUGAUGUUUGCUUGUGCAUUCCCUCUCGCA